This 85-nucleotide transfer RNA is filed under the name Desulfobacter sp. RNAcentral's name for it is "tRNA-Leu". It matches the Rfam family "tRNA". Rfam says of the family: Transfer RNA (tRNA) molecules are approximately 80 nucleotides in length. Their secondary structure includes four short double-helical elements and three loops (D, anti-codon, and T loops). RNAcentral also lists the same sequence under 5 other names. Lineage: Bacteria; Pseudomonadati; Thermodesulfobacteriota; Desulfobacteria; Desulfobacterales; Desulfobacteraceae. The record is from RNAcentral.
GCCGAAGUGGUGGAAUUGGUAGACACGCUAGACUUAGGAUCUAGUGCCGCGAGGCGUGGAGGUUCAAGUCCUCUCUUCGGUACCA